CUGAAAGCUAAAAAUGCCAUUUAUCGAUACGAAUUAAACAACAAAUUGUACAAAGUUCCAGAAUGACAAAUCCAAUUUUACCAGAAAGAAUACAGCAAGAAGCCCUUUAUUUCUGCAAAAAGAGAGACUAAUUUUUUGAACUAGACAGAUGAGCAAUGGAAAACACUUCACUACUGUGAAGCAUGGCGGAGGAAGAAGAGGUCUUUUUCUUGGUUUGGCAUGGAUACUCUGGUUAAGAUAGACAGGCUAAUAUAUCUUUUCGUUUAUCGUGACACAACUUGAGUUUAAGGUGAACCUUCCAAGACGAUAACUAUCCAAAACACACUUCUAAGUUAGUUAAAGGAUGGUUUGCUUCUUAAAGAUUACGUGUAAUGUCGUGGCCAGUACAAAGCCUACACAUCAAUUCAAUUGAAAACCUUUGGGAUGAAAUUGAUAAUAAAAUCUAUACAACGAUAUUGCCAAAUUUGAAUGAAGUCUACGAAGAAGUUCAAAAUCAGUGGAAAAAAGUGUCUAACGAUUAUAUUGAAAAUCUACUGAAAUCAAUGAAAAAAAGAUGUUUGAAAGCUAUUAAAAAUAGUGGAUAUACUAUUAUAUACUAAAUAAAGUAACGUUAAAUGUA
Aethina tumida (small hive beetle) is the source of this 619-nucleotide long non-coding RNA. RefSeq lists it as uncharacterized. The record is from RefSeq and is a predicted model, not a curated record. Lineage: Eukaryota; Metazoa; Arthropoda; Insecta; Coleoptera; Nitidulidae. The transcript has 2 exons.